This 272-nucleotide long non-coding RNA is filed under the name Elaeis guineensis (African oil palm). RNAcentral's name for it is "long non-coding RNA (EGUI_LNC019999)". The record is from RNAcentral. Lineage: Eukaryota; Viridiplantae; Streptophyta; Magnoliopsida; Arecales; Arecaceae.
CAAAUUCUUUUUAACCUUAUCUCGCAUUUCAAAUUCCAACUCAUUUGAAUUUGUUAUUUAGAGAGUGCUUGGAUACCUACUAUUGGAUAUAAGUGAACCCUAGUUGCUGGAAGUGAUAUUUUUCUAAUAUUUGGAUUUCUUUAAGUUAAUCAGAAACAUAUAAGACAAACUAUAGGAGCUAGAUAGUUGAUAUGGAAGUAGGAGAUUUUGGAUUAAAUUAUUUUGUAGCAAAAUGGAGAAAAAUUUUCAAAGAUAAACGUGAAAAGAAGGAG